GUGGUUAUGUAUCUGUUUGUGAUUAAUUAGUCACCGUUAUUUGUAUAGUGUAGGCACCUGAAUUUUCUAUUAGGUGCAAAAUCAAACUUCAAAUUAUAGUAGUGUUCUUUUGGCUUCCAUUUCUGGUAAGUGUUAUUUUUUUUUAUUAUAGUAGUGUUUAUGUUUAUUUGUAUUAUCAAGUUUGUUCCCCAGUUUUUACUCACCCUGAGCUCAAUUCAUGCAUAAUCAACUGCCAUUUUUCUAAAAUUCUACUUGUUCCCACAUUAAUUCAUCCAUGUUUAAGUAAACAAUAGAAUCCUUGCACUUUUGUUCUACAAGUACCUGAAUGGAAGCAAAAAUUUUACUUCUGCACCAUGUUUCAGUCAUAUUUCGAGUUUGCAUUUUUGUUAGGACCAUAAGAGAAUCUUUAUUUUACUAUUGUGCAUUUAACAUGCAUUCCAUCUCAUUCUGAAGAAAAAAAAAAUGAUGUACAAGCUUUGAACUUUAUAAAUCUGGUUUUUUGGAGUCUAUUAAAAAGUAUAGCAUCAUUUUUUGAUACUGUUCACGAUAGUAACUCACUCAAACAUAAUUCUUCUAUUGUUACCAUCAUUGUAAUUUCGAGUUAUUUCAGGUUCUAGCUUUAGUAAAUUUGAAAUUUACUGAUGAUAAGCUUAUGCAUAAAUUUUGAGUUUCAAAUUUUAGGGUCUUGCUUAGAAUGAAUAGCUGGCAGAUUAAAGAAUUUUAUUAUCCUUAAAAGACAACAAUGCUUCUCUCCCAAACCGUAUAAGUGACAAUCUCUAAAGAUGUGGAGCUUAUCAAUCAUCCAAAAUCUUAGUCACUAUGUUCAUGCUCUUCCAUGCUCACCUAUGGAUGACAAUCAAAAUCUACUCUGUAGGUUCUUCAUUCACAAUCUGAGCUAGACACUGCCUUUUCUCUUGAUCUUUCAUUUUUCCUGUACUGCUGCUUCAAUUCCAGUGCUUUGUUGUUGUGGAAACAAACUUUAGGAUGUAUGCACGCUCAUCAUCUAAACUGCACUGCAAGUCUUUGUGCCUCUUCUCAAGGUAGCUGUUUGAACCUCUGCAAUGUAAGGAAGGGUUUGAAGGGAUUUACAGCUACCUGCAAUGUGUGCAAUAGAUUUUGUGUGCAAUCUCCAAGAAAGGGUUUGAAGGGAUUUGAAUGUCUGGUGUGUGAUGAUUUGGAAAGGUUAACGGAUUCCACGCUGAUGUAAAGUUUUCUCCCUUAUUGAUGAAAGCACUGGUGUCAGGAAUGGAAUGAAGCUCUCAUCACAUGGUGCUUUUUGGAUUUUGAAGCUGAGUUGAUAUGUAAAAUCCCAUUUUGCCCAAGGCUUGCUAAUGACAUACUGUUUGGCACUUUACUAAAAAUGGCCUUCUUUUUUUUCUCUUAAUCAACAUAUUAUUGGGAGAUGGAUUUGCAAAGAAGAGAAACACGGGUCAGUUCUUCAGAUGGUAAGCAGCAGAUCGUAGCCACAUAAAAAGGAAUGAGUUUUUAAUGGGCAGUGAAAAUGUUUGGAUGGAAAAUCUAUUUGAAUAUCCUUCCUUUUCAAUGAAACUUGAGUAUGUGCAAAGUAAUUCAAUUUGAUGACUGCUAACUUGUACAUUAGUGGCAAAUUAGAGAUGUUUUUGGUGGUUUGAGUAAGCUUAUAAUGUGAUUGACAAUGUUAGCAUUGUAGUCAUUCACUUCCACACCCAACACAAUUUGUGGAUCAAUGCAGUUCUUGACCCUUUUUAAGUCUCUU
Camellia sinensis is the source of this 1735-nucleotide non-coding RNA. Lineage: Eukaryota; Viridiplantae; Streptophyta; Magnoliopsida; Ericales; Theaceae. The record is from RefSeq and is a predicted model, not a curated record.